This 447-nucleotide ribosomal RNA is filed under the name uncultured bacterium. RNAcentral describes it as "SSU rRNA". It matches the Rfam family "Bacterial small subunit ribosomal RNA", at positions 26 to 518 of the family's 1533-position model. The record is from RNAcentral.
AGAGCGAACGCUGGCGGCAUGCUUAACACAUGCAAGUCGCACGGGCAUUUCGGUGUCAGUGGCGGACGGGUGAGUAACGCGUAGGUAUCUAUCCUUGGGUGGGGGAUAACGGCUGGAAACGGCUGCUAAUACCGCAUGAUAACUGAGGUUCAAAGGCGCAAGUCGCCUGGGGAGGAGCCUGCGUACGAUUAGCUAGUUGGUGGGGUAAAGGCCUACCAAGGCUGCGAUCGUUAGCUGGUCUGAGAGGAUGAUCAGCCACAUUGGGACUGAGACACGGCCCAAACUCCUACGGGAGGCAGCAGUGGGGAAUAUUGGACAAUGGGCGAAAGCCUGAUCCAGCAAUGCCGCGUGUGUGAAGAAGGUCUUCGGAUUGUAAAGCACUUUCGACGGGGACGAUGAUGACGGUACCCGUAGAAGAAGCCCCGCUAACUUCGCGCCAGCAGCCGC